RNAcentral lists this long non-coding RNA (1504 nucleotides) under Cicer arietinum (chickpea). RNAcentral describes it as "long non-coding RNA (CARI_LNC002678)". Lineage: Eukaryota; Viridiplantae; Streptophyta; Magnoliopsida; Fabales; Fabaceae. The record is from RNAcentral.
UCAAAACACCCACCACAAUUACCAUUAUAUGCACAUAUGUUCAAAUUUAUAUAUUAGUAAACAAUUGGUGUGUUACAUCUUCUCUCCAUCAUAUGUAUCUCUUCUACUAUGUGUUUUACCAUAUUCUUUAUUUUGUUUUAAAACCAUCAUAGAUGAUAUGUGUUACUUAAAUUAGAUAAGCUACAAUUGAAGACCUCAUGAAUUAAAUUUUUAGAAUCAUGUGUUGUUUUGACCUAAAAUCCUGAAGUGUCUCUAGAAGGGUUUUUAAUUCUCAAAAAUCAAUAGAUUUAGAAUUGGAAGCUUCAUCGCGAUUCUUAUCAAUUCUUUUUUUAUCAGAGAGAGAAAAUUCUUAAAUAAAGUGGUGCUUCCUAGUUCAACAUUGGGAAUACGAUCAACAAAAAAAUAGUUAACAACAGGAUGAGUACUAUUAUUACCCUAAAUAUCUUGCAUGUACCAUAAAUUUCUACCUUGUGUAGAGUAGCUAUGUUUUUAGGACAAAUUUAUUUGCCAACUUCUAUAAAACUUAUGCAUCUUCAAUAGGGUGAGGUUUUCCAUGACCAUUAUAUUUUUUAAAUUUGUCAAUGAAAUUUUCUACAACCUUACAAGAUUCAAAAACCAACAGAAGUUUUUCAAAGGCAAUGCAAACAAAAAAUGCAUAUUCUUCAUGUUGAAUAAGAAUGCGAUCUCUCAACUCUUGUAUCAUAUCUAAAUUGACCAAAACUUAAGGAAAACGACAAAACUUUUUUGAGUUGGUAGCUUUGUCAAAAAAUAAAAUGGUUCCAAUACUUGGAGUGAUUGUGAAAAAUCACAUUGCAAAUCCAAAACUGGGGUAGAUUGAAGAUAUGAAUCCAAUAUUAGGACUUUAUGUUUCAUACCUAAUUUGGAUUGAAAUAUUUCGUCCAUUAGAAGACGAGAAGAAGACAUAGUUUCAUAUUCCAAAUUUCAGUUGUUCAAACACUUUGCAAAUCAUCAUGAGAAGCAUAAGAGAACUCAUAAAAUUAUUUCUUGGGAGGAACCACCUUCCAUGAAUUGAUCGAUUUCCAUACUUUUAAAAACUUUUAACGUAAAUCUGAUAAAAUGACCGACGAGAUCCUUAAACCCUAGCUCAACUGAAUAAUGCUGAUAUCGUUAGGUUGUAUGUAUUGUCUCGGGCUCAAACCUGAGACCUCACAGUUGUGUGAGUUAAUUAUGGGAAAAUUUAUCAUCGCUUCUAAAAUAAAACUAAAAAAUAACCGACGAUUCGACAACAAGAAACCGACGACGACAUCCAUAAACUAAAUGCAAACUAGAUUGAACUCAAAAUUAGAUUGAAGAAACCAAACACGAAUCAAAAGCCAAAUGUGAAUAGAGUAAUCAAGCGUGAAUUAGAAGCCAAACAUGAAUCAUAAUCCAAAUUUAAAAACAAAAAUAAAAUACUAAAGCAAACACAAAUGCAAAAACAGUUUGAAUACGAGACAAGAAUCACAGAUUGAACACGAGUCUGAUUAACCAUUAAUGAAAAAAG